This 556-nucleotide ribosomal RNA is filed under the name uncultured bacterium. RNAcentral describes it as "partial 16S ribosomal RNA". It matches the Rfam family "Bacterial small subunit ribosomal RNA", at positions 355 to 900 of the family's 1533-position model. The record is from RNAcentral.
UAGGGAAUCUUCCACAAUGGACGAAAGUCUGAUGGAGCAACGCCGCGUGAGUGAUGAAGGGUUUCGGCUCGUAAAACUCUGUUGUUGGAGAAGAACAGGUGUGAGAGUAACUGUUCACAUCUUGACGGUAUCCAACCAGAAAGCCACGGCUAACUACGUGCCAGCAGCCGCGGUAAUACGUAGGUGGCAAGCGUUGUCCGGAUUUAUUGGGCGUAAAGCGAGCGCAGGCGGUUUCUUAGGUCUGAUGUGAAAGCCUUCGGCUUAACCGGAGAAGUGCAUCGGAAACCAGGAGACUUGAGUGCAGAAGAGGACAGUGGAACUCCAUGUGUAGCGGUGAAAUGCGUAGAUAUAUGGAAGAACACCAGUGGCGAAGGCGGCUGUCUGGUCUGUAACUGACGCUGAGGCUCGAAAGCAUGGGUAGCGAACAGGAUUAGAUACCCUUGGUAGUCCAUGCCGUAAACGAUGAGUGCUAAGUGUUGGAGGGUUUCCGCCCUUCAGUGCUGCAGCUAACGCAUUAAGCACUCCGCCUGGGGGAGUACGACCGCAAGGUUGAAAC